UAAGUCCUAUGGGGCUUAACCCAUAUAUCCCAGAUGCAACCUGGACGCUUUUAUUAAGCUAAAGCCUUC
This 69-nucleotide transfer RNA is filed under the name Anolis polyrhachis. RNAcentral describes it as "tRNA-Ala". Lineage: Eukaryota; Metazoa; Chordata; Lepidosauria; Squamata; Anolidae. The record is from RNAcentral.